This 506-nucleotide ribosomal RNA is filed under the name uncultured bacterium. Its description in RNAcentral is "partial 16S ribosomal RNA". It matches the Rfam family "Bacterial small subunit ribosomal RNA", at positions 29 to 523 of the family's 1533-position model. The record is from RNAcentral.
AUUGAACGCUGGCGGCAGGCCUAACACAUGCAAGUCGGACGGUAGCACAGAGGAGCUUGCUCCUCGGGUGACGAGUGGCGGACGGGUGAGUAAUGUCUGGGGAUCUGCCCGAUAGAGGGGGAUAACCACUGGAAACGGUGGCUAAUACCGCAUAACGUCGCAAGACCAAAGAGGGGGACCUUCGGGCCUCUCACUAUCGGAUGAACCCAGAUGGGAUUAGCUAGUAGGCGGGGUAAUGGCCCACCUAGGCGACGAUCCCUAGCUGGUCUGAGGGGAGGACCAGCCACACUGGAACUGAGGCACGGGCCAGACUCCUACGGGAGGCAGCAGUGGGGAAUAUUGCACAAUGGGCGCAAGCCUGAUGCAGCCAUGCCGCGUGUAUGAAGAAGGCCUUCGGGUUGUAAAGUACUUUCAGCGGGGAGGAAGGCGGUGAGGUUAAUAACCUCACCGAUUGACGUUACCCGCAGAAGAAGCACCGGCUAACUCCGUGCCAGCCGCCGCCGUAA